AGCUCCAAUAGCGUAUAUUAAAGUUGUUGCAGUUAAAAAGCUCGUAGUUGGAUUUCUGGGCUGAGCGACCGGUCCGCCGCUGUGCGGUGAGUACUGUGUGUUCGACUCGGCUCAUCCUUGUGGGGAAACGCAUUACGGCAUUAGGUUGUCGUGGCGGGGAACCGCAUCGUUUACUGUGAAAAAUUAGAGUGUUUAAAGCAGGCAAAUUGCUGUGAAUACAUUAGCAUGGAAUAAUAACAUAGGACUUUGGUUCUAUUUUGUUGGUUGGAGGCCAAGGUAAUGAUUAAUAGGGAUAGUUGGGGGUAUUCAUAUUUAAUUGUCAGAGGUGAAAUUCUUGGAUUUAUGAAAGAUGAACUCAUGCGAAAGCAUUUACCAAGGAUGUUUUCA
This 387-nucleotide ribosomal RNA is filed under the name uncultured eukaryote. RNAcentral's name for it is "SSU rRNA". It matches the Rfam family "Eukaryotic small subunit ribosomal RNA", at positions 587 to 972 of the family's 1831-position model. The record is from RNAcentral.